GGUGGUAGUGAGGAACUGCUGAGGACCCCUAAGUACUGGUCCUAAGUAGCCCUGGGCCCACCUGGCCAUGCCCAUCGGGGUGGCGCCCAUCUGAUCCUCUGAACCCCAGAAGGCACGGAAGAGCCAGUGCGAACUCCAAAACUUGGCGGCCAGGGUGCAUAAAUUAAACGCGCGCCUCCCGCCUGGGGGAGUGACAGCUCCCUGUGAUUACUGCACUGUGAAAAAUGUUAGCCUUUAGAAGGUUUCCUCCCUUCCUAUUCUGUUAGCACUCACACAGAGGUCUAUUAGCAGUGCUCCCAGCCUGCUGGGGAUGCUGGCAAGGCCACGAAAAGAACCCACUCCCCCAGAAGAUCUGGCUGCGUUUUUAGCUCCAGGCUGCUGGCACGUGCCACCUGCCCAGAAACAAUUCCUACAGGGCUACAUCUCAGGAGAGAUGUUCCAGGUCCAUGGGAGCAGUGCCAUGCAAGUGUGAGCCACUGGCUGGAGCAGGUCUGAGAAUCCUUGGGUAUCAGUCAGUAAAAGAGAUGAAGGGAUUUCUCGAUGGUUGUUGUCCUUGAACCUGGAUUAUAUUUCUUCCUCUUUGGAACCCAACAGUUGACUUUGAUGAAAACAAUAUAAACAGGUCGCCUACAACUCCAAGGACAUUGCUACCAACCUUGAAUGUAUUUUAAGGGCCUUUGAUUGAAGCCAAAGAAAACAAGCUAAUUACUCAAUGUCACACCCACUGCUUGGUUUUCUCCUGGAGGUUGACCACAGGAAGCCACACUCUGACACUCUAGACAUACCUUUACUGCACUGGCAUCUGAUGAGC
Molecule: long non-coding RNA, 811 nt
Organism: Bos taurus (domestic cattle)
Lineage: Eukaryota; Metazoa; Chordata; Mammalia; Artiodactyla; Bovidae
Source: Ensembl